This 257-nucleotide ribosomal RNA is filed under the name uncultured bacterium. RNAcentral describes it as "partial 16S ribosomal RNA". It matches the Rfam family "Bacterial small subunit ribosomal RNA", at positions 524 to 776 of the family's 1533-position model. The record is from RNAcentral.
UACAGAGGGUGCGAGCGUUAAUCGGAAUUACUGGGCGUAAAGCGUGCGUAGACGGCUAUCUAAGUCGGGUGUGAAAGCCCCGGGCUCAACCUGGGAAUUGCAUUCGAGACUGAAUAGCUAGGGUACGGUAGAGGGAAGUGGAAUUUCCGGUGUAGCGGUGAAAUGCGUAGAUAUCGGAAGGAACAUCAGUGGCGAAAGCGGCCUUCUGGUCCAGUACUGACACUCAAGUGCGAAAAGCGUGGGGGAGACCAAACAGG